This 774-nucleotide ribosomal RNA is filed under the name uncultured Neocallimastigales. RNAcentral's name for it is "partial large subunit ribosomal RNA". It matches the Rfam family "Eukaryotic large subunit ribosomal RNA", at positions 24 to 647 of the family's 3401-position model. The record is from RNAcentral. Lineage: Eukaryota; Fungi; Neocallimastigomycota; Neocallimastigomycetes; Neocallimastigales.
GUAGUCUCGCACAGAUGCAUAUCAAUAAGCGGAGGAAAAGAAACUAACAAGGAUUCCCCUAGUAACGGCGAGUGAAGCGGGAAGAGCUCAAAUUUGAAAUCUUAAAGGGUUUCCCUUUACGAAUUGUAGUUUAAAGAAGUGUUUUCUGUUGAGGUUUUGGUAAAAGUUCUUUGGAAUAGGACAUCAUAGAGGGUGAGAAUCCCGUAUUUGACCUUUACUUUCAACUUUGUGAUACACUUUCAAAGAGUCGGAUUGUUUGGGAAUGCAGUCCAAAAUGGGUGGUAAAUUUCAUCUAAAGCUAAAUAUUGGCGAGAGACCGAUAGCGAACAAGUACCGUGAGGGAAAGAUGAAAAGAACUUUGAAAAGAGAGUUAAGCAGUACGUGAAAUUGUCAAAAGGGAAGCGUUUGACACCAGUGUUGUUUUUCUGAAAAUCAAUUAAAGAACUGUUUAUGCUAAGCUGUUUAGACUUUAUCAGCUAUCUGUUUAGUUUUGAGCUUUUCUUUAAUGCACUUUUCAGUUAACAAGUCAACAUCAAUUUCUUUUGCUGUAAAAAAGCUUGAGGAAGGUGGCUUGAGAUUCGUCUUAAGUGUUUAUAGCCUCUUGCCUAUGCAGUCGGAGAGAUUGAGGUCUGCAGCGUAGAUCCUUCGGGGCUAAAUGCAUUUGUGCUAAGUUAUAGCAUUUCAUAGACAACUUGUUGACUAUGAUUUGUCUUGUAGCUUACUCGCUUAUGUUAUUUUACCUACGCUUAGGAUGUUGAUCUGUAGUGCGUGCGC